UUGUGUGUAGAAUAAUGUGUUUGUGUAAUAAUGAUGGUGACAUGUGUAGAACAGCAGCUCCUGACUGGUUCAGUGUGUUUGCAUAUGUGUGCUGCCUCUCUGCUUCCAGCAGUUAAAGCUCAGUGUUGAUCAGUGGCUGUCCAGACCUUUCAGAGACUCGGACUCGCCCGCAGCACAAUGAUGAUGUCACUGACUCUGCUGCUCUUCACCCUGGAGCUCCUCGUUCAGGCUUCAUCAGAAGAAAUCAUCCUGACUCAGACUCCUGAAGCUCAGUCUGUAGUUCAAGGACAGACUGUCUCCAUCAGAUGUAAAUCCAGUAGUCUCAUUGGUGAUGACAUAGACUGGUAUCUUCAGAAACCUGGAGAAGCUCCUAAACUGCUGAUAUAUGAUACUACAGCUCGUCAGUCUGGAGUUCCAGAUCGUUUCAGUGCAACUGCAGUUCAGACUGACUUCACUCUGACCAUCAGCAGAGUUCAGCCUGAAGAUUCAGGAGUUUAUUACUGUCAGCAGCAUAACAGCAUCCCGUUCACACAGUGAAACAACGUCGUUCUUUAAAUUGUCAGAAAAAGUCUCAAAUCCAGCAAUAAAGAGAAAAAAAAGAUUUCAAAGUUAAAGAUGAUCCAUGUUCCUGUUGGAGUGAGUGGUUGCAUUUCCAUAGAGACACUUUGCAUCAGCAGCUCCAUGCUCCAGUGCUCUGGGAGACUUUAUAGUCCUGAGAGUUGAAGACUGGAUGACUGACAGCUGUCCUUCAUCACAGCAGAAGACACACAAAUCCUCCUC
This is a non-coding RNA of Oryzias melastigma (Indian medaka), 780 nucleotides long. The record is from the annotation of a RefSeq genome assembly. Lineage: Eukaryota; Metazoa; Chordata; Actinopteri; Beloniformes; Adrianichthyidae.